GCAGUCGAGCGGACAGAAGGGAGCUUGCUCCCGGAUGUUAGCGGCGGACGGGUGAGUAACACGUGGGUAACCUGCCUGUAAGACUGGGAUAACUCCGGGAAACCGGAGCUAAUACCGGAUAGUUCCUUGAACCGCAUGGUUCAAGGAUGAAAGACGGUUUCGGCUGUCACUUACAGAUGGACCCGCGGCGCAUUAGCUAGUUGGUGAGGUAACGGCUCACCAAGGCGACGAUGCGUAGCCGACCUGAGAGGGUGAUCGGCCACACUGGGACUGAGACACGGCCCAGACUCCUACGGGAGGCAGCAGUAGGGAAUCUUCCGCAAUGGACGAAAGUCUGACGGAGCAACGCCGCGUGAGUGAUGAAGGUUUUCGGAUCGUAAAGCUCUGUUGUUAGGGAAGAACAAGUGCAAGAGUAACUGCUUGCACCUUGACGGUACCUAACCAGAAAGCCACGGCUAACUACGUGCCAGCAGCCGCGGUAAUACGUAGGUGGCAAGCGUUGUCCGGAAUUAUUGGGCGUAAAGGGCUCGCAGGCGGUUUCUUAAGUCUGAUGUGAAAGCCCCCGGCUCAACCGGGGAGGGUCAUUGGAAACUGGGAAACUUGAGUGCAGAAGAGGAGAGUGGAAUUCCACGUGUAGCGGUGAAAUGCGUAGAGAUGUGGAGGAACACCAGUGGCGAAGGCGACUCUCUGGUCUGUAACUGACGCUGAGGAGCGAAAGCGUGGGGAGCGAACAGGAUUAGAUACCCUGGUAGUCCACGCCGUAAACGAUGAGUGCUAAGUGUUAGGGGGUUUCCGCCCCUUAGUGCUGCAGCUAACGCAUUAAGCACUCCGCCUGGGGAGUACGGUCGCAAGACUGAAACUCAAAGGAAUUGACGGGGGCCCGCACAAGCGGUGGAGCAUGUGGUUUAAUUCGAAGCAACGCGAAGAACCUUACCAGGUCUUGACAUCCUCUGACAACCCUAGAGAUAGGGCUUUCCCUUCGGGGACAGAGUGACAGGUGGUGCAUGGUUGUCGUCAGCUCGUGUCGUGAGAUGUUGGGUUAAGUCCCGCAACGAGCGCAACCCUUGAUCUUAGUUGCCAGCAUUUAGUUGGGCACUCUAAGGUGACUGCCGGUGACAAACCGGAGG
RNAcentral lists this ribosomal RNA (1127 nucleotides) under Heyndrickxia sporothermodurans. RNAcentral's name for it is "bacterial SSU rRNA". It matches the Rfam family "Bacterial small subunit ribosomal RNA", at positions 57 to 1169 of the family's 1533-position model. Lineage: Bacteria; Bacillati; Bacillota; Bacilli; Caryophanales; Bacillaceae. The record is from RNAcentral.